GACGUAGGGCGCGAGCGUUGUCCGGAUUUAUUGGGCGUAAAGGGCUCGUAGGCGGUUUGUCGCGUCGGGAGUGAAAACCAGGUGCUUAACACCUGGCUUGCUUUCGAUACGGGCAGGCUCGAGUUCGGUAGGGGAGACUGGAAUUCCUGGUGUAGCGGUGAAAUGCGCAGAUAUCAGGAGGAACACCGGUGGCGAAGGCGGGUCUCUGGGCCGAUACUGACGCUGAGGAGCGAAAGCGUGGGGAGCGAACAGG
This 253-nucleotide ribosomal RNA is filed under the name uncultured bacterium. RNAcentral describes it as "partial 16S ribosomal RNA". It matches the Rfam family "Bacterial small subunit ribosomal RNA", at positions 524 to 776 of the family's 1533-position model. The record is from RNAcentral.